This 193-nucleotide microRNA precursor is filed under the name Oryza barthii. Its description in RNAcentral is "MIR812 microRNA precursor family". It matches the Rfam family "MIR812 microRNA precursor family". Lineage: Eukaryota; Viridiplantae; Streptophyta; Magnoliopsida; Poales; Poaceae. The record is from Rfam by way of RNAcentral.
AAAAAGACAAACACUGGAUUUCCGUGUCAAAUAUUUGUUUGUCCGUCUUAUAUGAUUUUUUUUAUAAUUAGUAUUUUCAUUGUUGUUAGAUGAUAAAACAUGAUUAAUACUUUAUGCAUGACUUGUCUUUUAAUUUUUUUUAAAUAAGACGGAUGGACAAACGUUGGACACGGAAACCAGGGUUUGUCUUUUU